GGGGGGGAGAGUAAAAUAAAGCGAGAGCCGGGAAACACCACCGUUUACAGAAAUCACGCAUCCAGGUGCGCCCAGCAUAAAGGCUAUGAUGAGAAGGGCAGGCAGCAGCAAGUUGUGAGGAUGUGGGGGGGCUGGCACUCUCCUACACGGCCAGUGGGGGCGGAAGGCGGUGCAGGCACUUGGAAAGCUUUGGCGGAGCCUACCGAAGCUGAGGGUACACGUACGUGCGACCCAGCCAUUCACCCCGAGCUAUUUACCCAACAGAGAUACGUACUACGAUCACCGAAAGCCUUGUUCAGGAAUGCGCGGCGGUGUUUGGAACAGCUGGAAACUGGAAACCCUCCACGCGCCCAACAGCGGGAGAAUGGCGCUCUGUAGCAGCUCCAUAUGAGGCCAUCACAGACAGCAAAGAGAAUAGACGAGCUGGGAUGAGCUCCACCCCAACUUGUACCUUUUAAGUUAAAACCAGCAGCACAGCCCCCUGGCCCCAGACUGUGGGGGUGUGAACCCUGGGCUACCGCCAGCUUCCUGAUCUGGAAGAGUCGCCUUGAUUUUCUCCUUGCCUCACCUGGAAAGUGGUGACGAUAACAGCAUUCGCCUCCUACGGUCAUCGGAGGAUCAGAGGAGCGGAUGUACUUUUAGCACAGCGUUGGGUUCCAGGCAAGGACUGUUAUUAAUUUAGGUCAAACGGCCUCCAAGCUUGAAUGAGCACACGGCCCCCACAGACGGAUAUUUAUUUAUGAAGGAUAGAUGUGCCACUGAACUAGCCUAUUAUGUACACUAUAAAGCACAUACUCGAAUGGAAUUUUUAAAAAGAUCACGAGUAGACACA
Molecule: long non-coding RNA, 832 nt
Organism: Herpailurus yagouaroundi (jaguarundi)
Lineage: Eukaryota; Metazoa; Chordata; Mammalia; Carnivora; Felidae
Exons: 2
Source: RefSeq, a predicted model, not a curated record